Molecule: long non-coding RNA, 555 nt
Organism: Sitophilus oryzae (rice weevil)
Lineage: Eukaryota; Metazoa; Arthropoda; Insecta; Coleoptera; Curculionidae
Exons: 3
Source: RefSeq, a predicted model, not a curated record
UUCGGAUGUUCGAGGCGUUCGAGGUUAGAUUUGUAUUUUGUUGAUUUUGCGUUUGGCGUUAAAUACUUUGAGUUUUCAAUUUUGUUUUAUUGUACCCUCUUUAUUAUUUUUGUAAUGAAGGGUAUUAAAGUUUGUUUUGUGAAGGGCUAUCUAAAUAACUCUGAAGGCUCUUCAGAAAAAGUUUUUAUAUCUGUUCCUUUGGAUGAAAGCCGUCGAAGAGCCUGGUUUGAAGCGGCAAGACAACAAUAUGUCAGCAAAAGUACGAGAUUUUGCUGAGAAGAUCAUUUUAACAUAAAAAAUUCAGAAACAAUAUUGAUGGAAUCGAUUUUAAGAAGCAAAUCGGAAAAGGAGAUACAACAAAUACAAUUAUUUAUUCUUAAACUUAAGUUACAAACACCAUUCAACAUCUACAAUUUUUUCGAUUUGGGCCUUGGAAUAAUUUCCCCUAUAGUCAGCCAUAUUUUGACGUAUAUCUUAGUAGCGUUUCAGGUUUACUCUACCUAAAGACUUAAUAAUUUCUUUUUAUUGUAUUGCUAUUGUGAGAUAACUCCAGGA